Oreochromis aureus is the source of this 1077-nucleotide long non-coding RNA. RefSeq lists it as uncharacterized. The record is from RefSeq and is a predicted model, not a curated record. NCBI's taxonomy places the organism in Eukaryota, Metazoa, Chordata, Actinopteri, Cichliformes, Cichlidae. The transcript has 4 exons.
UUGAGUUUUUUGGCUCAAAGGAAGGGGAAGCUUGGCUGUUGAACAUGCUGAUGCUGGAGCAGUUCAUGGAGGAGCUCCCAGCGGGAACAGUGGAGUAGGUCUGCUGUCAUCAGCAAGUGAGCCAAGGGUCAUGUGUUGGGGUUGUUGGGGCAGCCACAGCUGGUGGCAGGAAGUCAGCUGAUCCCGGCCCCGAGGAGGAGGCCCUGUGGUGCGUCCCCAUUGCAGCCGCAGAGCAGUGGUCGCCAACAUUUAAUGACGCUUCCCCUUCUGCUGUCUGUCCACUGGUCCCAGUGGCUAUGGACACUGCACCCCACUCACCAGGAGGAUCGUGGCAGGAGUCUUAGAGCAAAUAAAGCUGUUUUGAGUUCACGUUCUGCCUGUGGGUCUGCGUUUGAGUCCUGCCUGUUGUGCACAGCCAAAUCAUGACAGUCUACAUCAAGCCUAAUGAUUUCCAGUCACCUUCUCAGAGACAAGUACAGAUGAAAACUAAAGGCUCCACUCCAACAAAUGCAGCAUGCCUGGUGACAAUACUGAAUUCUGGGUAAAAAACUGGAUCAACAGUUGUCUGUGACAGAAGUCAUCCCUCAGUAAAGCUAAUCAAGGAUGAGACAGUGGGUGUGAGGAGGAGGUGGGUGCUGACAGAGAGGUUUGGACAGAUGGACGGACAGACAGGCUGUGCUCUGUCAGCACAGUCUGACAUGAUGAGAAGGGACAGACGAAUGGAAGAACAGAAUUGGAGAAAGAAGUGAAGUGGAGAGAGUAAAGAUGAAGAACCAACACCAGAAGUGAAACUACACACUGAAACACACUAACAGUUCUUUCAGUCCAUCCAAUCCAACUUUUCCUUUUUCAUCUUGUUUGCUUAAUUGACUUUAAAUAAAAUGUAUAUCAAGUCAUGAUGUUAGGGGUAAAUGAUGCGUUUUAUUUCCUGUGACACAGUCUUGUGUUUCUGGUUUAAAAAUAUUUGAAAAUGGGGAAAAACUUGCUUUUGAGACAAUGUAAACAGACAAACGUUUUCUGAGAAUCACAAACAAUGAAACUCCAGGUAAAUGUGUUAAAAUACUGGUAGUUUAAAUG